Molecule: ribosomal RNA, 447 nt
Filed under: uncultured bacterium
Lineage: Bacteria
Description: bacterial SSU rRNA
Rfam family: Bacterial small subunit ribosomal RNA
Source: RNAcentral
UGGGGAAUCUUGGACAAUGGGCGCAAGCCUGAUCCAGCCAUGCCGCGUGGAUGAUGAAGGCCUUAGGGUUGUAAAAUCCUUUCGUGGGGGACGAUAAUGACGGUACCCCAAGAAGAAGCUCCGGCUAACUUCGUGCCAGCAGCCGCGGUAAUACGUAGGGACCAAGCGUUGUUCGGAUUUACUGGGCGUAAAGGGCGCGUAGGCGGCAUGACAAGUCACUUGUGAAAUCUCUGGGCUUAACCCAGAACGGCCAAGUGAUACUGUCGCGCUAGAGUGCAGAAGGGGCAAUCGGAAUUCUUGGUGUAGCGGUGAAAUGCGUAGAUAUCAAGAGGAACACCUGAGGUGAAGACGGGUUGCUGGGCUGACACUGACGCUGAGGCGCGAAAGCCAGGGGAGCAAACGGGAUUAGAUACCCGAGUAGUCCCUGAGCGGGCUGGCAAGGCGCAU